GAAUUUUUUUCAGUCCAUCGCUGGUCCGUCGAAUAAUUUUGGGAAUGUUUUUUUGUCCGCUGUUAUUUUUUCUUUAGGCGUGCGAAAAUAAGUGAAAAAAAUGUAGUUUUCGGUGCACGAGGAACUCGAACUCUUAAUUUAAGAAAUAAUGUGCAAUAUCCUUCGAAACGAAUUAGUUUAAGUAGUUAUUUAGUGGUUUUUGCAAUAUUGUUUAAAUGGUAUAAGUAUUAUAGAGACUGAAAAAUUAUGGAAGAACAAAGCGAAACGUCGCCAGAAUGUGGAGUGGUUGCCGUUCCAGAAUCUCCGAAACCCACAGCCUUUACGAUAGAUUUCGGGGACGAAAAAAAGGUAGAUGUUCAGCGACAAAAGUCCUUGGCUGAAAAGUUUCAACAGAGACACAAAAGGGGUAAAUCCAUGUCCAAAUUAGAUGAUUGUAAUUUAACUCCGACCACUACGAUGCCUAAGAAACACCCCCUUAGUGGAAAUCUACCUAGGAAAUCGAGUUUUCAAUCAGAAGGUUACUUUUCAUCAGAUGAGAAAAUUGAAAGAAGCAAAAGUGCCAAAACAAGUUCAAAACGCUCAGAUCUAACACUACAAUUGAAGAACAGCGCAAUCGACAGAAUGACGCAGUCUUUCCCUAAUACGACCCUACCGUCACUUAACAGCCCCGAUCACUGUGACAUACAGAACGUGAGCAGUCCAGAAUUCGAACUUAUAAGUCCUUUCAGUCCAAACGUUAGUGAAGAGUUAGUGGAAUCGAUAGCUAACACUACUCUGUGCAGUGAAGAAAUUUCUCAAGAUUAUGAGGUACUAUCAAAAACCAUAGACUUGGACAUCGACAAAAAGUCGGACACUGUGAGCGAAACUGGUACUUACACGGUAGAAAUAGACAAUUAUUCGGAAGAACAAAGAGCGAGAAUGAGCAUAGAUAACGACUUCAAAAUCGAACACGUGUCUGUUCAGAAGAAAACCGAAGACUACAUAUUAAGUUUAUCGAAUCCGACACACUUCAGUGACGAUAAUAUAGCCCAGCCUUCCUCCAGGCUCUGUCCAGAAGAACCUACGGUCGAUAACAAGUCUUUGACAGAUAGAAUUAAGUUUAUGACUUUGCCACUCAAAUCACCAACAGGGAGGAGCUUUCCCAAUAAGUUACUUUCGCCUAUUUUGUCUCCCACGCAGAACUUAUCUUUGGUGGAGAAGGAAAUGCAGGCCCCAAACAGCCCCAGCCACAGACAUCAACGUGGGCAGGCAAAAGCGACCGACGAAGGUGCCGUCGUGUCCGUCACAUCUAGCGGCGCCUUUAGGGCGAAAAGCGAGGAGCAAAGGAGGUUGGAGAGGAAAUUAAGCCUCAGCAAGUCCGAGAUCCACGUGGAGGCUUACGUGGAUGGCAAAAUGUACAACGAACGCAAGCUGAACAAUGCCAGAACAAGUUCUUACAGACCGAACAAUCUCACCGCGAACAUAGUCAACGUACAGAGCCUAGAAGUGGCCGGAUGUGACGCAGAGGGCGUGGUCAGCGCCAGUCUAGUGUUUGGGAAAAUGGGCGGAGCCAUACCAGUAACCAGCGGUCUUCCACCUACACCCACCGGCAAAGCAUCCCCGACGAAAAUCCCAUCACCCCUUCACAGCUUAUCACGACCAAGGAGCAGAAACAGUUUUUCAGCUCCCACAGACGACAUGGACACCGAAUUCAUCCUGAAACCCACCCAAAACUAUAUCAACACGCUCCAACACAAACUAUCCUUAGACAGUGAUCAAGACAGCGAUUACGAGAUGAAGUAUGGCCUUCAAUUGAACAACACCGCUCAUUUGUUGAAACAGAAGAACUCGCACAUUAGACACAACUCGUUGGAUGAUAAAUCAACGAUUAACAACAAGCUGGAACACUUUCAAAACAAAAACCUGCAGAGCAUCGAUCAAACAUACAGCAAUUUGUUGAAUCAAUACAAGGUGGUGAACAAGAUAAACAAUUCGCCUAGCGACAGCCCUAUCAGGAGGUCCAGUAGUUUUUCCAAUCGGAAUCAGAUCAAUCAGGUGAAAAGCUCUAACUUAAAUGGUCGCCCCAAAGAAACAAACUUAUGUAACUCUCCUAGUUUGGGAAAGAACGGAGUUCAAAACAGUAUACAGAGGAGUUCUUCAACGGCUUCCAUCAAACCGAGCUUUGGACCCAAUGGACGAAGAAUUGAACACAAAAAGAUUGACAGGACCCAGUUUGGCGAUACCGAAUCCAGUUCGGAGGAAGACUUCGACAAGGAUCUGCUGCAGAAACGCAAAGACCUCGGUAACAUAUCGAACACGCGCUGCAACAGGACGUUUAGUUUGCGCAGGGCCCGUCUGGAUAGCGAGGGCGCCACCACCAAGCUGCGCUGCCCCAACACGCCCGAAAUGCGACGCAAAUCGUUCCAGCCCGAACCAGCGAAACCCGAACGAGCCAUAUCAGUUGAUAGGAAGUCGAUCAAAACGAACGAGGUACAAAGUAGGUAUUUACUGAACAUAAGCAAGAGAGUUACACCUCCCCCCGCUACCAAGGCACCUCCAAAGACAACGAGUAGCAAUGCGGCUUCCAAGACUGCGCUCAAGUCAGCUACAGCGCUAUCGAGAAACGAGGGAGGUCGAUUUAGUAUGCGAAACCUGAAACCGCCUACGACAAAUCCCUUGGCCAAAUCUUCAAAGAAGGACGGUAAAAAUGCUAAACAAGGUGGAGGCCGCAGUAAUUCUUCCCUUUCUAGUCGAGAAGUCGAGUUUCAGAAUUGGAAACGACGAAAAAGUUACGAUCCGAUGAAGGCAGCGGCGGAGGGCAAAAAGAAAGAAAUGCAAAAGAAACUGAACGAAAUGACAGGAUCUUAUGACAGUUCCGGCAGACCGGGACUUCCUAGUCCUGACAGUUCUCCUUCGCAUUCCGGUUCAGUACAUAGAUCUCAGGUAUCGCCUUAUAUUAAUAACAUGGUACCCGGUGAGCUCUCUUCUGACUGCUAACGAAUAUUUGCACCCACAACGAAGACUUAUUGUACAACUUUAAUUAAAUUGUUGUUCUCCAAGCUUCCAUGGGACAGCCGCGCUAGAACAACUGAUCAGUUCCGAUGACGAAGAUGAGAUGACCCUCUCUGCGGACGAGGGCCUCAGUCCCCCCACGCCGAGCCCCUGCGAAUUGAGCCCCACACGGGCCAGCCUAAGGCACGCUCUAUGGGACAAGAUACAUAAUCAGUGAGAAUUGCGCGGAAAUCAUUAAAAACAAUAACUUUGUUGUAGUAAUAUCAAAAACGCUCAUGUAGACAAAACAGAAGCAACCUUAUUUUUAAACGAGUAUUUCUACGAAUUUUUUACUCACAUGGCAGGUUUACUUUUUAGUAGCAAAAUGGUCUACAAAACAGUAAUUAAUGUUUUUAUUUUCAACGCCUGUAUUUUUAAAAUUAACCUCUUUAUAUUGAUACGAAAUUUUCUUACUAAGUUUUUCUAUUGACUAUAGAAGUUUUGCUAUAAAAAAGGGCCAUCCUGUACAUUUGUUUGAAAACUUUUACAUUAAUAUGCAUAAGCUACAUUGUUUUUAUUUUAGAAAUACCAAUAAUUAUUUGUCAUAUAUCAGGAAAUAUUAUAAGUUAAAAAUUACAGCUUUAGCGUACAAAAAAUAUAUUUGAAUCAUCCUAUUUAUCUGUGAAAAGAUUUUUAAAAUGUGCCCGCUAAUAAAUUAGAGUGAAAACCUCAUAUACAUAUAACUAUAUGUAUAUGAAAAACCUCAAAUCAUAAACCUGAUAUUGGGCUUUUUUGAAACACCGACUCACCCCGUAGGUAUAUAAAUUCAGCAUACAAUAAAUUAAAAAACAUAUUAAACAUUCAAAAUCUAUGCUUAUUUCCAAAAAAAUCUUCAAUUUUUUUAUUCUAUGGGCGUUUUUGAUAUUGCAAUUUAAAAUAUUAAAUUUCAACUAUUACCACAGUUUUUUUAUUUUAUAUAUCAAAAAUAAAAUGAAUUUAUUAGCUUACAUUUUUUAAAUAUUUUUUUGUGACAAAUCAAAAUUUUAACACUGCUAUAAAAAACAAUGAAAAUAAACAAAAACAGUCCUAGAACCUUUAAUUAUCUAUUAUUAUUUGAUUUCGAAGAUACAUUUUAUUUUUGAUCUAUAAACAUUUUUUGUUAAAGCUAAACUAUAGAUUUUGUAUAUUUAAGUUUGAAAAAAUAAAACUGCCUGUAUUUAUUACACGUUAGAUUUUUAUAUGACAUAAUGUACGAAUACGCACUCUUAUUGAAUGAUCUGUUAUUUCUUUGGACGUCAAUAGAUUUUUUUAGAGAGAUCUGUCCUUAAAUUAUAUUUACGAACUAUAUUUUUCUAUUUUCACUUUUAUUAAUAAUGUACAGAACAGAAAACAUUCUGUAGAUUAUAAAUAAAAGACACUGUAUUAUGUUCCUUGCACGUUUUUGCGUCUUAUAUUAUUAUUAUUUUUUUGAAUAGACGGGUAACGAUACUGUUUAUCAAAUAAAUUGUUGAAUUUUGUGUCUUAAAAAGUUGAUUUAUAGAGUAUCAAAUUGUUUAAUAAUGUAACCCGUUUAUCUGUGACAAGUAUUUCGUAUUUUUUUAAGUAGAUUUAAGCAAAUAUUUUUACCUGAUGUUAUUAUUUAUUCCUUAGUUGUUUAGAAGUAUUAAAAGAAAAUGAUGGACAGAAAACUGAAUUAUCAAUUUUAAGAAGUCUUGUACAACAAGGACUCUGUUAGAAACUAUGACUAUUAUUACUAACUCAAAUAUAUAGUAUAUAUCCAAUUAAACUCUUGUAUAUGUAUUAAAGAAGAAAAAAUAAACAUGUGAAAUAAUAAUAUAUAAAAUUGAGAUUAUGUUGUAGAUGUGCAAAAAUUUUGUUCUGAUAUUUUUGCGGGCAUCGACUUAGGCCAGUCCCUUGAAUAAUUUUUAGUUGUUCCAUAAACAAUAUGUGUAACUAAUAAUAAUAUUUUUUUUUUUAUUUAUAUAAACAGGAUUGUUCUGGAUCUUUUUACACUAUCUUUUGUAUAAAAACCUCUUGUAGAUUCCUCAUUUUUUGUGUUGCACGGGAUUGUUAUUAUUUUGUU
Sitophilus oryzae (rice weevil) is the source of this 5053-nucleotide RNA transcript. RefSeq lists it as uncharacterized. The record is from RefSeq and is a predicted model, not a curated record. NCBI's taxonomy places the organism in Eukaryota, Metazoa, Arthropoda, Insecta, Coleoptera, Curculionidae. The transcript has 12 exons.